GCCAGGUGCGGUGGCGCACACCUGUAAUCUCAGCAGUUUGGGAGGCUGAGGCAGGAGGAUCAUGAGUUCAAAGCUCAGCAAAAGGGAGGCCCUAAGCAACUCAGGGAGACCCUGUCUCUA
RNAcentral lists this small RNA (120 nucleotides) under Marmota monax (woodchuck). Lineage: Eukaryota; Metazoa; Chordata; Mammalia; Rodentia; Sciuridae. The record is from RNAcentral.